RNAcentral lists this long non-coding RNA (363 nucleotides) under Carica papaya (papaya). RNAcentral describes it as "long non-coding RNA (CPAP_LNC016152)". Lineage: Eukaryota; Viridiplantae; Streptophyta; Magnoliopsida; Brassicales; Caricaceae. The record is from RNAcentral.
CCUCUUUUAUCAGCCUACCAGUAUCCAUGGGGAUCCAUAGGGGUCCCCACUACACGUGAACCAUUUAUCUUAACAACUUAAUUCCAGGGCCAUCCCCAUACCCCGUCCGGUAUGGGCGCCAAAACAAUAAACCUCAAUACCCCGUCCGGUAUGAGGGUGAAGCGAGCCGUCCCCAUACCCCAUCCGGUAUGAGCACUAAAAUAUUUAAAGUCUCUAUACCCCAUCCGGUAUGAGACAACGUUCUCAGUAGGAUUCCCUAUGGACCCGGUCCGUCCACCAUCUCCUAGGAUAUCUAGUGAGGCUGUCAACUUACCCAAUUAUCAAUUCAAUCCCAUUCCUUUUUAUCCUUAUUCUUCGUUACCC